RNAcentral lists this unclassified non-coding RNA (329 nucleotides) under soil metagenome. Its description in RNAcentral is "partial contains 5.8S ribosomal RNA, internal transcribed spacer 2, and large subunit ribosomal RNA". The stretch from base 1 to 120 matches the Rfam family "5.8S ribosomal RNA", at positions 35 to 154 of the family's 154-position model. The record is from RNAcentral.
GAUGAAGAACGUAGCGAAAUGCGAUAAGUAGUGUGAAUUGCAGAAUUCAGUGAAUCAUCGAAUCUUUGAACGCACAUUGCGCCACUUGGUAUCCCGAGGGGCAUGCCUGUUCGAGCGUCAUUUCACCACUCAAGCCUGGCUUGGUGUUGGGCGACGUCCCCUUUGGGGACGCGCCUCGAAACGCUCGGCGGCGUGGCACCGGCUUUAAGCGUAGCAGAAUCUUUCGCUUUGGAAGUCGGGGCCCCGUCUGCCGGAAGACCUACUCGCAAGGUUGACCUCGGAUCAGGCAGGGAUACCCGCUGAACUUAAGCAUAUCAAUAAGCGGAGGA